RNAcentral lists this non-coding RNA (32 nucleotides) under Mus musculus (house mouse). The record is from RNAcentral. Lineage: Eukaryota; Metazoa; Chordata; Mammalia; Rodentia; Muridae.
UGCAUCCAGGCUGUCUGUUCUUUGUUCCCUCU